This 227-nucleotide ribosomal RNA is filed under the name Alkalibacillus almallahensis. RNAcentral describes it as "partial 16S ribosomal RNA". It matches the Rfam family "Bacterial small subunit ribosomal RNA", at positions 718 to 945 of the family's 1533-position model. Lineage: Bacteria; Bacillati; Bacillota; Bacilli; Caryophanales; Bacillaceae. The record is from RNAcentral.
UCAGCGACUUUCUGGGUCUGUAACUGACGCUGAGGCGCGAAAGCAUGGGUAGCGAACAGGAUCGAUACCCUGGUAGUCCAUGCCGUAAACGUUGAGUGCUAGGUGUUAGGGGGUCCAACCCUUAGUGCUGCAGUUAACGCAAUAAGCACUCCGCCUGGGGAGUACGGCCGCAAGGCUGAAACUCUAAGGAAUUGACGGGGGCCUGCACAAGCGGUGGAGCAUGUGGU